GAUGAAGAACGCAGCGAAAUGCGAUACGUAAUGUGAAUUGCAGAAUUCAGUGAAUCAUCGAAUCUUUGAACACAUAUUGCGCUCUCUGGUAUUCCGGAGAGCAUGCUUGUUUGAGUAUCAGUAAACACCUCAACUCCCCUUUCUUUUUUUGAAAUGGGAGCUGGACUUGAGUGAUCCCAACGCUUUUCUCACCGAAAAGUGGCGGGUUACUUGAAAUGCAGGUGCAGCUGGACUUUUCUCUGAGCUAAAAGCAUAUCUAUUUAGUCUGCCUAAAAAACAGAUUAUUACCUUUGCUGCAGCUAACAUAAAGGAGAUUAGUUCUUGUGCUGACUGAUGCAGGAUUCACAGAGACAGCUUCGGCUGGCCUUUGUAAACUCGAUCUCAAAUCAAGUAAGACUACCCGCUGAACUUAAGCAUAUCAAUAAGCGGAGGA
Molecule: unclassified non-coding RNA, 433 nt
Filed under: soil metagenome
Description: partial contains 5.8S ribosomal RNA, internal transcribed spacer 2, and large subunit ribosomal RNA
Rfam family: 5.8S ribosomal RNA (bases 1-120)
Source: RNAcentral